GGCGGGUCUCCCCGCAUUGCAAGGCGGCAAACCUGGUCAGGUCCGGAAGGAAGCAGCCAUAGCUGUCCACUGCAAGUGCCGGGGGUCAGGCUCGCCACC
This 99-nucleotide signal recognition particle RNA is filed under the name Zoogloeaceae bacterium. RNAcentral's name for it is "signal recognition particle sRNA small type". It matches the Rfam family "Bacterial small signal recognition particle RNA". From Rfam's summary of the family: The signal recognition particle (SRP) is a universally conserved ribonucleoprotein involved in the co-translational targeting of proteins to membranes. Lineage: Bacteria; Pseudomonadati; Pseudomonadota; Betaproteobacteria; Rhodocyclales; Zoogloeaceae. The record is from RNAcentral.